GCUUGUCUCAAAGAUUAAGCCAUGCAUGUCUAAGUAUAAAAGUAUUCUAUACUUGAAACUGCGAAUAGCUCAUUAAAUCAGUUAUAGUUUAUUUGAUGGUGCCUUACUACAUGGAUACCCGUAGUAAUUCUAGAGCUAAUACAUGCCAAAAAAACCCAACCGCAAGGGCGGGUUGUAUUUAUUAGAUAAAAAACCAUUACUCGCAAGAGUUUUUGUGGUGAUUCAUAAUAACUGUUCGAAUCGCAUGCCGCAAGGCGGCGAUAGAUCAUUCAAAUUUCUGCCCUAUCAGCUCUCGACGGUAGUGUAGUGGACUACCGUGGCAUUAACGGGUAACGGAGAAUUAGGGUUCGAUUCCGGAGAGGGAGCCUGAGAAACGGCUACCACAUCCAAGGAAGGCAGCAGG
This 403-nucleotide ribosomal RNA is filed under the name uncultured Paracercomonas. Its description in RNAcentral is "partial small subunit ribosomal RNA". It matches the Rfam family "Eukaryotic small subunit ribosomal RNA", at positions 30 to 432 of the family's 1831-position model. The record is from RNAcentral. Lineage: Eukaryota; Cercozoa; Cercomonadida; Cercomonadidae.